GAUGAACGCUGGCGGCGUGCCUAAUACAUGCAAGUAGAACGCUGAAGGAGGAGCUUGCUCUUCUGGAUGAGUUGCGAACGGGUGAGUAACGCGUAGGUAACCUGCCUGGUAGCGGGGGAUAACUAUUGGAAACGAUAGCUAAUACCGCAUGACAACAGUUAUUGCAUGAUAACUGUUUAAAAGGGGCAACUGCUCCACUACCAGAUGGACCUGCGUUGUAUUAGCUAGUUGGUGAGGUAACGGCUCACCAAGGCGACGAUACAUAGCCGACCUGAGAGGGUGAUCGGCCACACUGGGACUGAGACACGGCCCAGACUCCUACGGGAGGCAGCAGUAGGGAAUCUUCGGCAAUGGACGGAAGUCUGACCGAGCAACGCCGCGUGAGUGAAGAAGGUUUUCGGAUCGUAAAGCUCUGUUGUAAGAGAAGAACGAGUGUGAGAGUGGAAAGUUCACACUGUGACGGUAGCUGACCAGAAAGGGACGGCUAACUACGUG
Molecule: ribosomal RNA, 495 nt
Filed under: uncultured bacterium
Lineage: Bacteria
Description: partial 16S ribosomal RNA
Rfam family: Bacterial small subunit ribosomal RNA
Source: RNAcentral